This 499-nucleotide ribosomal RNA is filed under the name uncultured bacterium. Its description in RNAcentral is "partial 16S ribosomal RNA". It matches the Rfam family "Bacterial small subunit ribosomal RNA", at positions 30 to 523 of the family's 1533-position model. The record is from RNAcentral.
AUUGAACGCUGGCGGAAUGCUUUACACAUGCAAGUCGAACGGCAGCACGGACUUCGGUCUGGUGGCGAGUGGCGAACGGGUGAGUAAUGUAUCGGAACGUGCCCAGUCGUGGGGGAUAACGUAGUGAAAAUUACGCUAAUACCGCAUACGAUCUAUGGAUGAAAGCGGGGGAUCGCGAGACCUCGAGCGAUUGGAGCGGCCGAUAUCAGAUUAGGUAGUUGGUGGGGUAAAGGCCCACCAAGCCAACGAUCUGUAGCUGGUCUGAGAGGACGACCAGCCACACUGGAACUGAGACACGGUCCGGACUCCUACGGGAGGCAGCAGUGGGGAAUUUUGGACAAUGGGCGAAAGCCUGAUCCAGCCAUUCCGCGUGCAGGAUGAAGGCCCUCGGGUUGUAAACUGCUUUUGUACAGAACGAAAAGGUUUCUACUAAUACUAGGAGCUCAUGACGGUACUGUAGAAUAAGCACCGGCUAACUACGUGCCAGCAGCCGCGGUAA